RNAcentral lists this unclassified non-coding RNA (4066 nucleotides) under Haliotis rubra (blacklip abalone). Its description in RNAcentral is "gamma-aminobutyric acid receptor-associated protein- like 2, transcript variant X1". Lineage: Eukaryota; Metazoa; Mollusca; Gastropoda; Lepetellida; Haliotidae. The record is from RNAcentral.
GUGACGUCACUAUCAGCAACCUCGAAGUGAGUAACAAGUCACAAGUAAGACUGUCAGCACUGUCUCACGAGACGAAAACAAGUCCAGUUUUCUGAUCUUUUUAGUCGUCAACAGAUAUCAAGAUGAAAUUCAAGUUUAAGGAAGAACACACAUUCGAACAAAGAAAAGCUGAGUCAACAAAGAUCAAAACAAAAUAUCCUGAAAGAAUUCCGGUGAUAGUGGAGAGGGACCCCAAGAGCCAAAUACAGAACAUCGACAAGAGAAAGUUCCUUGUUCCCAAUGACAUCUCAGUGGCUCAGUUCAUGUGGAUUAUACGCAAACGUAUUCAACUUCCAUCGGAAAAAGCCAUCUUUCUUUUCGUAGGGAAAAUACUGCCUCAGUCAAGUGCAAGCAUGGGCCAGGUUUAUGAAGAUCAUAAGGACGAAGAUGGAUUUUUGUACAUAGCUUACAGUGGAGAAAACACCUUUGGCUUGUAGCCGUGUCAGCAACCGGACCGAUAUGUUUCAUUGUUUGCCUUCAUGCUUGAAGAUUUGAGACAGGAAGCCAAGCCGAUGCUGAUAUCAUGUGCAAUGCAUUCAUGAUGGCAGAAAAAAAAUGUGAUAUCUUUGUUGAAAGUUAACAUGGUUAAAGUAUUUGUCUUAUUGUACUGUAGUAGUGUUGAUCAGUGAUUCAAUGUAUGUGUUUGCAUUCCGCCUCUAUUUGUAACCAUGGAUACCAAGCACAAGGAAUCCAACAUUCCCUGUUCAACAACAGACUCAACAAUGGCCUCAAAUUCUGUUUUAUCAUAUGUGGUCAGUUUUCAUUUUUUAUGGUUCUACAUAGCAUGGUUCAAAUGUUUGAAGCUCUUGUCUCUAAUAAGACUGGUUUUGCAUCCUGAAUUUUGUAAAAGGGAGGGAAUCAAAACCUGGCCUAUAUUUUAUCAUGAGUUCGGUAUCUGAAUGGGUUACUUUUUGAUGAAAAGAGUCCAUUCAUUUAGCUCAAGACCAAGCAUCCCAAUUUCCAGUACUUACUGAAACUAGUAUUAUCAUGUGAGAGUUAUAGUAUUAAAGGAUUGUUUUAAUAUGUUGUUUUAUGGAACUGUAUAUAUCUUUGUACAGGAAGUAGACGAUUUUCUUCCGUUUGUAAACAUAUCUAUUCCACAUACAUUUCAAGUAUUGAUAUAAUUAACCAGUAUCAUCAAUGUAUAAGCCGUGUUAUAGCAACUAUAACAAUUAUUAUCAUGCACUUUAUAUGCUUGAAUACAUGAAUACAAUAUUCAGGGCUCAAUGCUUGCAUACAGUGUUAUUAAGCUCAACCACAGUAGAGGUAUUAGCUUUGAUAGGUGAUUUAGUGACAUAUAGCAUGGGAUUUGAACUUGCUCAUUUUGAAAGGGAGUUAACUGUAAUUGUCUUCCUGUAGCGUGGGAAAUUUGUUUCAAACUUUGGAAAUUGUUUUUCUGGUGUUGUUUCAGUUUAUGCUAUGUAAGUAUUAGAUUUGAAUUUGAAAAUAAAAGUUGUUCAUGGUUUGAGAUCAAGUUAGAUAUUCCAUAGUUGAUCUUGCACAAAAAAUAAUUUCGAUUCAUUCCAGUCAGUUUGGAGAAUCAUCUGACACCUUCCACUGUGAUGGCUUGUAUGGAUGUAGGCAAUUUUGCACAUUAGAAAUUAACUUCAAGAAUUGUUCAUUUGAUAAAUUGUCGGAAUGAUUUAAUAAAAAGUAGCCCUGAUACUAGGAAAUCUUGACUUACCAAACAAUAGAGAUUUGCAUAGGGUUUUUAUGCUUUUUAUGCAGUAUUGUGUCAAAGUUGUUAUGAGAGAUUGCUGUGGAUACAGGUGUUUCUCAAGACUUCUUGGACCCAAGUUGACAUGAAAUCCCAAACUGGAGUGAGAAUUUUCCCAGUUAACAUUAUUAUAAUUAUAUCUGAUAAUUGGUUUGGUCAAACUGAUUUCUAAUAGAUGAAGGAACUAUCAUGCUUAGUUUUUCAUUACUGAAUCUGAUGAUAUUAUAAAUGUUAAAAGAUCUAUGAUUUGAAGUUAAAAGGAACUAACAAAUACUUUUCCCAAUUUUCUGUCAAGAGCUUGUAGGGGGCCGUUCAUAAUUUAUGUACAUAAAAAUAUUUAAACAAUACACUUUAAAAAUAUGGAAAGGGGGAGGGGGGUCAUUGACUUUGUACAUGACAUGCAGGGGGGUCACUUACUUUGUACAUACAUUUUGGGGGGGUCACUUACUUUGUACAUACAUUUUGGGGGGGUCAUUCACAUACACGCACACACACACACACACACGCCAUAAAUUAUGAACGGUCCCUAGUUUGGAUGCUUAGACAAAUCAGGGACCUUAAUGUGUUAUUCCUUGAACGUUAAUGUGUUACUCCUUGGACAUGCAUCUUCACUCUAUGUUUGCUACAGUGUCAGAGUUUGCUUGUCUAGUCAGAAGAGCUUUGUCAGUGGAACAACAUACAGCUUCCAGGAACAUUUUGGGAUGCAAGAUUAGCUGAUCUUGCUAACUUCAAAGAGAUGGUGACAUUAGUUUCUGUCUCCCUGUAGUUGGUAGUCCCAGCACCAUGUGACCUUUGUUAGGUUUAUCUUUAAGACAGGGCUUUUACUCGGACACUGGUAAUGGUUAGUGUGUUCUGCCAACAUUGUGUGUUUGAUCAUCCAGGUUAGCAAGUCUGUUUAGGGGAACAGGUCUGAACAUGUCUAAUGAACAGGUGGUGUUUGGUGAUGUUGUGAACAACCUCUGCCCACUUCCUGUGUAUGUUUUACUGUGUAGUUGUGGUGUUAUUACAGUUUUUGCUGGUAAUCUUCACUAGUCCAUAUUUGAUUCAGGAGGCUUUGCUUGCCCAUAUACUGGAGACAGUGGCUGUCAUCAGUGCUCAUCACUACCCUCAGGGUGUUGCCCAGCCAACAGUGGUACAACAUCAUAUAAGGGAUGUCAUGUAUAUUUCUCUGUCUCAACUAAACCCAUCUCUGCAAUCCAGUGUAUGCCAGUUUGGACUUAUCAGACAAAAGCCACAAUCAUAAUAUAAUAAAACUGUUUUUCUUUCUUUUUUUUAGUAUAAUAAACUGUUAAAUUAUUUAUUUAUUUGCCUGACGUCUCCAUCUUUAGUGUAUUAGAAAUAGACUUCCAUGAAGGAAACUCAAACAAAAGUGACUUACUUAACCCUAGAGAUACUAUCUGGUCAAAGGCAUUGUACGCAAUCUCUUGCCACUGCAAAUAUCCUGUCAACAAAAUAAAAUCUUGAAAAAUAUAACGAUUGAAUAUAAAUACGAAACAUCAGCAUCCUUGACGGCAUUGGCACCCAUGUAGUACUGGUGUGAUUGACCCAAACAAUUUUGCAACAAAUAACAUAUAUAAAUAUUGUGCAUAAAAAAGUAUAUUUUCAUGUUGUACUUGGAACUAUACAACCUAAUUAGCAUGCAGCAAUUGACACCCGAAAACUCUGUUGCCAAGAUACCUGUUCAAAUCGUAUACCAGGUAACAUCAUUGUGUGAACCAGUUAUAUAAUAAAUAUACAAAUACCCAUCAGGUUAAGAUAAACCAGUUUCGACCUGGGCCCACCGGUAUAUUGGCAUCUUUGAGUUGCCCCUUCCCACAAGCUGCAGCGUUAAACAGCUCCUCAAGGAGCCAAGAUUUGCUUGUGCAAGUUGACUGUUCAGUUGUGGUUCUUCCUCUAUGGCCGUCAGACAACAAGGUCCCUGUUGUGGUAUACAUGUAUCCAAGGCCCACUGUGUUUGAAUUCUGUAUGCAUAUUUGAACAGCGCCUGUGGUAUGUAUGUAACACUGAUUGUUCAAAAGUAACCCCGGAGGUUGUGAUGUAAGGUUCCCGUGCACGUCAUCUUACUAAAGUUGCCAAAAAUGUCCUACCACCUUUGGUUGAUAGAGCCAUUUUUACCUCACAAUCUGCUUGACGCCAUUUCCUGGCAGGCUUGGAAGAAUUUCAAAACCAAAGUGACCAUGUUUUAGUCUUUCACCUGUGUCCAUCCCUGGACUGUUGUUUGAAGGUUGGUGUAAGAGUGGGGGCGCUUGUCAGGUCACCUGCCUUGUGUCAGAAGUACUCAUGCUUGUGAAUAAAAUAUCUUCUAACUUA